Molecule: ribosomal RNA, 468 nt
Filed under: uncultured bacterium
Lineage: Bacteria
Description: partial 16S ribosomal RNA
Rfam family: Bacterial small subunit ribosomal RNA
Source: RNAcentral
GACGAACGCUGGCGGCGUGCUUAACACAUGCAAGUCGAACGGAAAGGCCCUGCUUUUGUGGGGUGCUCGAGUGGCGAACGGGUGAGUAACACGUGAGUAACCUGCCCUUGACUUUGGGAUAACUUCAGGAAACUGGGGCUAAUACCGGAUAGGAGCUCCUGCUGCAUGGUGGGGGUUGGAAAGUUUCGGCGGUUGGGGAUGGACUCGCGGCUGAUCAGCUUGUUGGUGGGGGAGUGGCUUACCAAGGCUUUGACGGGUAGCCGGCCUGAGAGGGUGACCGGGCACAUUGGGACUGAGAUACGGCCCAGACUCCUACGGGAGGCAGCAGUGGGGAAUAUUGCACAAUGGGCGGAAGCCUGAUGCAGCAACGCCGCGUGCGGGAUGACGGCCUUCGGGCUGUAAACCGCUUUCGCCUGUGACGAAGCGUGAGUGACGGUAAUGGGUAAAGAAGCACCGGCUAACUACGUG